This 67-nucleotide transfer RNA is filed under the name Marmota monax (woodchuck). RNAcentral's name for it is "tRNA.Ala". Lineage: Eukaryota; Metazoa; Chordata; Mammalia; Rodentia; Sciuridae. The record is from RNAcentral.
GGUUGUGGCUCAGUGGUAGAGCGUUCACCUAGCAUUUGUGGGGUGCUGGGUUCAGUCCUCAGCACCA